GAAAUGCGAUAAUUAAUGUGAAUUGCAGAAUUCAGUGAAUCAUCGAGUCUUUGAACGCACAUUGCGCCCCCUGGUAUUCUGGGGGGCAUGCCUGUCCGAGCGUCAUUGCUGCCCUCAAGCACGGCUUGUGUGUUGGGCUUCCGUCCCUGGCAACGGGGACGGGCCCAAAAGGCAGUGGCGGCACCAUGUCUGGUCCUCGAGCGUAUGGGGCUUUGUCACCCGCUCCCGUAGGUCCAGCUGGCAGCUAGCCUCGCAACCAAUCUUUUUAACCAGGUUGACCUCGGAUCAGGUAGGGAUACCCGCUGAACUUAAGC
Molecule: unclassified non-coding RNA, 314 nt
Filed under: plant metagenome
Description: partial contains 5.8S ribosomal RNA, internal transcribed spacer 2, and large subunit ribosomal RNA
Rfam family: 5.8S ribosomal RNA (bases 1-105)
Source: RNAcentral